RNAcentral lists this ribosomal RNA (2841 nucleotides) under Salmonirosea aquatica. Its description in RNAcentral is "23S ribosomal RNA". It matches the Rfam family "Bacterial large subunit ribosomal RNA". Lineage: Bacteria; Pseudomonadati; Bacteroidota; Cytophagia; Cytophagales; Spirosomataceae. The record is from RNAcentral.
GCAAGCGAGACAAGGGCGCAUGGGGGAUACCUGGGCUCUCAGAGGCGAGGAAGGACGCGGCAAGCUGCGAAAAUCGACGGGGAGCGGCACACACGCUUUGAUCCGUUGGUGUCCGAAUGGGGCAACCCGGCCGCCCAGUGGCGGUCAUCCUGUUUAUUCAGGAGGCGAACGGGGGGAACUGAAACAUCUAAGUACCCCCAGGAGAAGAAAACAAGAGUGAUUCCGCAAGUAGCGGCGAGCGAACGCGGAGCAGCCCAAACCGCCGGCGUCAAGGCGCGGGCGGGGUUGUAGGACCACCCGAGUGGGUGACGAUUCAAGCCGAAGCGCCUGGGAAGGCGCACCGCAGGGGGUGAGAGUCCCGUAGGCGUAGCGAUUGUCACCUGAGGUGGUAUCCUGAGUAGGGGGGACCGGAGGAAUCCCCUCUGAAUCCGGCGGCACCAUCCGCCAAGGCUAAAUACUCCUGAGAGACCGAUAGUGGACGAGUACCGUGAGGGAAAGGUGAAAAGCACCGCGAACAGCGGGGUGAAACAGAACUUGAAACCAUGCGCCUACAAGCGGGCGGAGCCGGCUGUUUACAGUCCAGUGACGCCGUGCCUUUUGCAUAAUGAGCCUACGAGUCACGGUCGCCGGCGAGGUUAACCGCCAUGUAGGCGGGGAGCCGGAGCGAAAGCGAGUCCGAACAGGGCGCGCAGUCGGCGGCUGUGGACGCGAAACCCGGUGAUCUACCCUUGGCCAGGCUGAGCCGCUGGUAACACAGCGUGGAGGGCCGAACCGGUAAACGUUGAAAAGUUUUCGGAUGAGCCGAGGGUAGGGGUGAAAGGCCAAUCAAACCGGGAAAUAGCUCGUACUCCCCGAAAUGCCUUUAGGGGCAGCGUCGGGCAACGGCCGGCGGCAGGUAGAGCUACCGAUAGGGCUAGGGGGAGUCACAUCCUACCAACCCCUGACGAACUCCGAAUGGCCGCCGUUAGGCCCGGCAGUGAGGGCGCGGGUGCUAAGGUCCGCGUCCGAGAGGGGAACAACCCGGAGCACCGGCCAAGGUCCCCAAGUGUGCACUAAGUUGAGCUAAGGGGGUCCGACUGCAGAGACAGCCAGGAUGUUAGCUUGGAAGCAGCUACACAUUUAAAGAGUGCGUAACAGCCCACUGGUCGAGCGGGGCGGGCACCGAUAAUGAACGGGCAUCAAGUGCACCACCGAAGCCGUGCGGUAGUAAUUUAUUACGACCGGUAGGGGAGCAUUCCCAGGGGGGCGAAGGCGUGGCGCGAGCCACGCUGGACCGCUGGGAAAAGCAAAUGUAGGCAUGAGUAACGACAAUGCGCGCGCGAAACGCGCACACCGGAAGACCAAGGGUUCCCCCGCUAUGCUAAUCAACGGGGGGUCAGGCGGGGCCUAAGCGCCAGCCGAAGGGCGAAGCGCGAUGGACAGCAGGCCAACAUUCCUGCCCCCGCCCGCAGUGCGAGCCGGUGACGGAGCGCGGUGGUCCUCACGUACCGACGGAAUGGUGCGUUGGAGCGGAGCCUUCGGGCGAGGCGAGAGGGCGGACGCGCUUCCAAGAAAAGCCGGCGAAGCGCCAGCUGCGGGCGGCCCGUACCGCAAACCGACACAGGUGGUCGGGAAGAGGAUUCCAAGGUGCUCGAGUGAAUCACGGCUAAGGAACUCGGCAAAUUGACCCUGUAACUUCGGGAUAAGGGGGGCCUACUCUGAGAGGAGAGGCCGCAGAGAAACGGCCCAGGCGACUGUUUAGCAAAAACACAGGGCUCUGCCAAGGCGAGAGCCGACGUAUAGGGCCUGACACCUGCCCGGUGCCGGAAGGUUAAGAGGGGAUGUCAGCCGCGAGGCGAAGCAUUGAAUCGAAGCCCCGGUAAACGGCGGCCGUAACUAUAACGGUCCUAAGGUAGCGAAAUUCCUUGUCGGGUAAGUUCCGACCUGCACGAAUGGUGUAACGAUCUGGGCACUGUCUCAGCCGUGAGCUCGGUGAAAUUGUAGUGGCGGUGAAGAUGCCGCCUACCCGCCACGGGACGGAAAGACCCCGUGCACCUUUACUGCAGCUUUGCGUUGGUCUUGGGUCAGCGGUGUGUAGGAUAGGCGGGAGGCAGCGAAGCGGCGUCGCCAGGCGCCGUGGAGCCAACCUUGAAAUACCGCCCUCCGCUGUCCCGGGUCCUAACCCGGUUCAACCGGGGACCGCGCAUGGCGGGCAGUUUGACUGGGGUGGUCGCCUCCGAAAGGGUAACGGAGGCUUCCAAAGGUCGGCUCAGCACGCUUGGUAACCGUGCGGGGAGUGCAAUGGCACAAGCCGGCUUGACUGCCAGGCCGACGGGCCGCGCAGGUGGGAAACCAGGGCAUAGUGAUCCGGUGGUCCCGCAUGGAAGGGCCAUCGCUCAAAGGAUAAAAGGUACGCCGGGGAUAACAGGCUGAUCUCCCCCAAGAGCUCACAUCGACGGGGAGGUUUGGCACCUCGAUGUCGGCUCGUCACAUCCUGGGGCUGGAGAAGGUCCCAAGGGUUCGGCUGUUCGCCGAUUAAAGUGGCACGCGAGCUGGGUUCAGAACGUCGUGAGACAGUUCGGUCCCUAUCUGUGGUGGGCGCAGGAGGACUGAGGGGGGCUGCCCUUAGUACGAGAGGACCGGGGUGGACCCACCGCUGGUGAGCCGGCUGUCCCGCCAGGGGCACGGCCGGGUAGCCACGUGGGGAGCGGAUAAGCGCUGAAGGCAUCUAAGUGCGAAACCGGCCCCGAGAUGAGUCCUCCCGAUAGCAGGGCCGUCGUAGACGACGACGUCGAUAGGCCGCAGGUGCACGCGCCGAGAAGCGCUCAGCCGAGCGGUACUAAUCGCCCGAGGGCUUGCGGC